GAUGAACGCUGGCGGCGUGCCUAAUACAUGCAAGUCGAGCGAACAGACGAGGAGCUUGCUCCUCUGACGUUAGCGGCGGACGGGUGAGUAACACGUGGAUAACCUACCUAUAAGACUGGGAUAACUUCGGGAAACAGGAGCUAAUACCGGAUAAUAUAUUGAACCGCAUGGUUCAAUAGUGAAAGACGGUUUUGCUGUCACUUAUAGAUGGAUCCGCGCCGCAUUAGCUAGUUGGUAAGGUAACGGCUUAGCAAGGCUACGAUGCGUAGCCGACCUGAGAGUGUGAUCCGCCACCCUGUAACUGCGACACGCUCCAUACUCCUACGGGAGGCAGCAGUAGGUAAUCUUCCGCAUUGGGCGAAAGCCUGACGUAGCAACGCCGCGUGAGUGAUGAAGGUCUUCGGAUCGUAAAACUCUGUUAUUAGGGAAGAACAUAUGUGUAAGUAACUAUGCACUUCUUGACGGUACCUAUUCAGAAAGCCACGGCUAACUACGUG
RNAcentral lists this ribosomal RNA (497 nucleotides) under uncultured bacterium. RNAcentral describes it as "partial 16S ribosomal RNA". It matches the Rfam family "Bacterial small subunit ribosomal RNA", at positions 28 to 507 of the family's 1533-position model. The record is from RNAcentral.